UACACGAGUACGUCACUCUGGCUGCUUCCUGGAUUGAUGACUGACCCUACAGACCAACACGAGUGUUUCCAGCGUGCUUUGUCCUCACUCACACGCAUCCUGGGAAAACUUCCCAGGAGGUCACCCAUCUUAAAAUUGCUCCAGGUCAAGCACGCUUAACUGUGGAGUUCUUUCGUGAUGGGCUACCGAAAAACAAAAUGCACCUUGUUGAUAUAGGUAGUACCAAUCAAUCCAUUUAAGCUCUAUUCAACUGUGUAGUCCCAUACCUACACAGUCUUAGAAUCAUCCCACUUGACCUUCCCUAGGCGGUGUGAGAUUGUACAGCUUACCCGGUAUUUCCCCUUACGGAUCACGGGACUACUGACUGUCACAAGUAUGAAACCCUUUUAUCCCGAUUUUUAAUUAAAAACCGGGAUAAAAAGUGUUUCCCUAAAAACACUUUCAUCUCGCGAAAUCGCAUAUAUAUCUGCUUUAACCUCAACAGAAACCCUCCCAAACUCAGAAACCCUCGCCCAAACCCAGAAACCCUCGCCAGCAAACCCAUGUUAGCCUCCAUCUCGCCCAUACCAGAAUCGCCCAAACCCAGCUGCUCAAACGGUUAAUGGUAAACUUUGUUUCUUUAUUAUUUUUCCCUAUUUUGCGUUUUUCCACCAUUUUUUUUGUUAAUAAUGUCUUCUAGUUCAGGGAUUAUUUAUUAUGUAUCAUUUUUUUUUACCUUUUUAGUUCUUAAAGAUUUGAUUUUUAUAAUAUUUGAAUGAGUUAUUGAUAGAAUUUUUUAUGAGCUCCCUUUGCCAAUUGUUGUACAUCUUCUGCGAGUGGGACUUGUCUCUGCAAUAAUUUUUUUUUUCUCUUGUUGCUACUUUCAUGGUUGUUUCUUUAUUAUAUUCCAUAUAAUUUUAUCAACCGAAGGGUCUCUAGGAAGAAGUUAUAGCAGCAGUAGCUUGUGCUCAGGGGGAAGUAUUGACAACAAGUAAGCUUGAAUAAUGUUGUUUCAAAUUUUGUGAACUAGAAACAAUAGAAACUUGAGAAAAGAAGGAAUGAAAUUCUAAUGCUUACUAGUGACAAGUAGAAUACUGCUAUACUUAUUGCUCUAAUUUAUUGUAAUUUUGUUUCAAGAGAUAGUCAAACUAACAAGAUUGUUAAGUUUGUGUUUUAUUUGUAUUAUUGUUUGAAGUAGCCUAAAAUUAUUAUCUCAAAGAUAAAAUAAAUUUUGUUCAUUUACUUAUAACAUAUUAUGGACUCUACUUUAUGCAUAAGAGUGAUUGUCAUUUAAUUAUGACUUCUGUAAAGGUACUCAUAGAAUUCGUAUGUUUUAAUUUGAAAGUAUUGCUAUUCAAAACUUAAUUUGCUAUGCUAUUUUAAUUUGAUAUAUACUUACGACUAGUUUUAAUAUGGAUGUAAAUUGUCACAGAAUAAUUGCAAUGUAAUGUGAGGUAUCCAUAAAAGAACAUGAUGUCCUUUCAACAAGCUUUAUAAAAUGUGUUUUAUCAGUACAUACCAAGAAAUCGCAAGAAGGUGAGCUUUAAUUUUUCUUUAUUUAUAUUUCUAAUUCUAUUCAAAAUAUAAGAUGAAAAAAUAUUGUACUCAUACCUUAUCUAUGAAAAUCUCUUGAAAUGACCACAAUAUAAGGUGGCUAUUUUUUUUUAAUUUGAAAUGUGUAGAUGAAUCUUGUUGAAAGAACCAUUGUGUAUAUAUAAAUAAGUAAAAUUUGUUUCCACUAAGAUUAUAUUUGAUUAGGAACAAUAUUUUUAAAUGACCAUCAUUAGAUUGCAAUCAUGUAUAUGAGGCACGCAAUCAAGCAUUAGAAAUAUUUCAAGAUAAUGAGGUGACUUUCAAUUGCCAAUAAUAAAUCAAUUAUCUAUUGAACUAGUAGGUGUUACUAGUUUUUAAAAUUGUUGGUUUCAUACAUAUAGAGAAAGAGUAGAUUGCUUAUGGUCUUCCUUUACUAGUUGGGCCACACUUUACGUUGAUUAAUUUUCCAAGUUAAUAAUGUUUAAGGUCAUGUUUAAUCCAUUUUAAGAUUUUUUAUUAUUUUAUUCUCAGGUUGUAAUUAUUGAAGAAGAAACAUAAUAGAAGGAAAGAGAGUGAAUGCUAAUCAUAGGAUCGCAUAUUCAAUUCCAAUGAUCAAUGGUGAAAGUGAUCAUUACAUAGUUACCAAAAAUCUUAAAAUUCAAAGAUUCAACGAGACUCUUCUUGGAACUAUGUUAUUGGAACAAUUGCUAUGAGGGACUAUAUAAGCUGCAACCAUUGUCUUUCUCUUUUCUGUUGCGGAGUGGGUGGUGUCAAGGGCAAGCACAAGGAUAAAGUCACAAGUAUAGGAAAGUGAGGAAAAAAAGAUAGCUCAUGGGAGGAAUAUUGUGCAUUUUCUUUACUUUUGUAACUUGGAAGAUUUAUGGUAUUAACUAUGUGUUAAUGUUGGUAUAUAUAAAGUUAUAAUGGUAUGAAUGUAUGUAAAAAAUAUUUUAUUUAUCAUUUGUAAAUAAUUUUGUUGGUGCAAUAAAUUUUAUUUGUUUUCCAAUAAAAAACUGUACAUAUAUGUGAAAUAUAUAUUAUAUAGGCAGUAUUAAUAUAUAUACAUAACAUAGGCAGAAUAUGCAUGUAUUAAAAAAUAAGACUUUGUAUCCCAGCUUUUAUAGAAAAAGUGGGAUAAAAGGGUACAUUUUAUCCCAGUUUUUCAUAACAAGUGGGAUAAAAAGUACCAUUUUAUCCCACUUUUUUCAAAAAACUGGGAUAAAACGGGUACUUUUUAUCCCGAUUUUCAUUAAAAAAUUGGGAUAAAAAGUACCCCUUUUAUCCCGGUUUUUUAAUACCUUUUAUCCCACUGGCAUACAUCCCGAUUUUUAUUUUAGCGAAAACCGGGAUAAAAAGCCUUAAAAACCGGGAUAAAAGGCCUUUUCUUGUAGUAGUCCCAUCCUACAACCGAUCCGAUCCGAUUGGAUUUUCAAAUUUACAUCCCAUCCGAUCCAAUUAUAAUUGGAUAUCCAAUUCUAUUGGAUCGAUCGGUUAUAAUUGGAUUGAAUGACUUUCUGCACACCCUUAUUUGUAACUGACACUCAUUAAAACUCUACAAAAUAAACUUCAAUAAUGUAAAAUUUCUCAUAGAAGCAUAGAGAUAAAAGGUUCAAGAACAAGAGGGUUGAGCCAAAUCUUAAUCAACUUCUGAAAUCAUAAAUAUCUUAGUUCCCAUAGAUAUUUGGGGUCUUUUCACACAAUAACCAUUGAAGAUUACUGUUACUUUCUUAUUGUGACCACACCCGCUUUACUUGAGUAUAUAUGCUUAAAUAUAAAUUUGAUGUUCACACUAUUAUUCUACAAAAUUAUGCUUAUGUACUAAAUCAAUUUUCUAUCACCAUUAAGGAAAUUUGAUGUGAUAAUGUAAAGGAACUUAACUUGCACACUUUUUUUGCUACUAAAGUGUAUUGUUCCCUUUCAUUUUUAUGUUGAGAGACCUCACCAAAACUUCAUUGUUGAGUGCAAACAUCAACAUAAUUUAAA
Cannabis sativa is the source of this 3495-nucleotide long non-coding RNA. RefSeq lists it as uncharacterized. The transcript is spliced from 3 exons. Lineage: Eukaryota; Viridiplantae; Streptophyta; Magnoliopsida; Rosales; Cannabaceae. The record is from RefSeq and is a predicted model, not a curated record.